GAGAAGUUAGUAUAUAAAAUACAUUAAAUUGUCAAUUUAAAGAUCUUUUAGAAAAGAAAG
Molecule: transfer RNA, 60 nt
Filed under: Isodiametra pulchra
Lineage: Eukaryota; Metazoa; Xenacoelomorpha; Acoela; Isodiametridae
Description: tRNA-Asp
Source: RNAcentral